RNAcentral lists this ribosomal RNA (510 nucleotides) under Salmonella enterica. RNAcentral's name for it is "partial 23S ribosomal RNA". It matches the Rfam family "Bacterial large subunit ribosomal RNA", at positions 329 to 844 of the family's 2925-position model. Lineage: Bacteria; Pseudomonadati; Pseudomonadota; Gammaproteobacteria; Enterobacterales; Enterobacteriaceae. The record is from RNAcentral.
UUAGUGGAAGCGUCUGGAAAGGCGCGCGAUACAGGGUGACAGCCCCGUACACAAAAGCGCAUGUGCUGUGAGCUCGAUGAGUAGGGCGGGACACGUGGUAUCCUGUCUGAAUAUGGGGGGACCAUCCUCCAAGGCUAAAUACUCCUGACUGACCGAUAGUGAACCAGUACCGUGAGGGAAAGGCGAAAAGAACCCCGGCGAGGGGAGUGAAAAAGAACCUGAAACCGUGUACGUACAAGCAGUGGGAGCACCCUUUGGGGUGUGACUGCGUACCUUUUGUAUAAUGGGUCAGCGACUUAUAUUCUGUAGCAAGGUUAACCGAAUAGGGGAGCCGGAGGGAAACCGAGUCUUAAUUGGGCGUUAAGUUGCAGGGUAUAGACCCGAAACCCGGUGAUCUAGCCAUGGGCAGGUUGAAGGUUGGGUAACACUAACUGGAGGACCGAACCGACUAAUGUUGAAAAAUUAGCGGAUGACCUGUGGCUGGGGGUGAAAGGCCAAUCAAACCGGGAG